RNAcentral lists this long non-coding RNA (273 nucleotides) under Manacus vitellinus (golden-collared manakin). RNAcentral's name for it is "lncRNA (ENSMVIG00005003342.1)". The record is from RNAcentral. Lineage: Eukaryota; Metazoa; Chordata; Aves; Passeriformes; Pipridae.
AAAAAACCUAGGGCAUAAAAAGAGGAGGCAAAAAGAAAGAACAGAAAGUAGAACAUGUGAAGGAAAAAGGCAGCAAAGAAAGAGGAAAUUCAGAGAAAGGAGAAACAAGUGCUGGAAGUAAAGGAAUAGAUGGUGGGGGAGGAGGCAGCACAAAGAGAUUCGACAUACAGGGCUUUUAGGAAGAGCGAUGAACAUGUAUCAGAAGAGAAAAUCAGCUGCUGCUUGGGAAGCAACUGGGAAGUUUGCUCCUUCCUCACAAGACUGAGGGUAUAA